CCUACGGGUGGCAGCAGUGAGGAAUAUUGGUCAAUGGGCGGGAGCCUGAACCAGCCAAGCCGCGUGAGGGAAGAAGGUACAGCGUAUCGUACACCUCUUUUGUCAGGGAACAAAGGCGGGGACUAGUCCCCGGAUGAGGGUAUCUGAUGAAUAAGCAUCGGCUAACUCCGUGCCAGCAGCCGCGGUAAUACGGAGGAUGCGAGCGUUAUCCGGAUUUAUUGGGUUUAACGGGUGCGCAGGCGGCUGGUUAAGUCAGCGGUAAAAGGCUGGUGCUCAACCCCGACGAGCCGUUGAUACUGGCGGGCUUGAGUUGGAGAGAAGUACGCGGAAUGCGCGGUGUAGCGGUGAAAUGCUUAGAUAUCACGCAGAACUCCGAUUGCGAAGGCAGCAUACCGGCGCCCAACUGACGCUGAAGCACGAAAGCGUGGGUAUCGAACAGGAUUAGAUACCCGUGUAGUC
RNAcentral lists this ribosomal RNA (459 nucleotides) under uncultured bacterium. RNAcentral's name for it is "partial 16S ribosomal RNA". It matches the Rfam family "Bacterial small subunit ribosomal RNA", at positions 338 to 795 of the family's 1533-position model. The record is from RNAcentral.